Molecule: transfer RNA, 72 nt
Filed under: Ornithorhynchus anatinus (platypus)
Lineage: Eukaryota; Metazoa; Chordata; Mammalia; Monotremata; Ornithorhynchidae
Rfam family: tRNA
About the family: Transfer RNA (tRNA) molecules are approximately 80 nucleotides in length.
Source: Rfam by way of RNAcentral
AGCAGGGUAGCUCAGUGGAAAGAGCCUGGGCUUAGGUGUCGGAGGUCUUGGGUUCUAAUCCCGGCUCUGCCA